AUACGGAGGGGGCUAGCGUUGUUCGGAAUUACUGGGCGUAAAGGGCGCGUAGGCGGCCUGGUAGGUCAAAGGUGAAAUCCCUCGGCUCAACCGAGGAACUGCCUUUGAAACCACCAGACUCGAGUCUGGGAGGGGGUAGUGGAAUUCCUGGUGUAGCGGUGAAAUGCGUAGAUAUCAGGAGGAACACCUGUGGCGAAGGCGGCUACCUGGACCAGUACUGACGCUGAGGCGCGAAAGCGUGGGGAGCAAACAGGAUUAGAAACCCCAGUAGUCC
RNAcentral lists this ribosomal RNA (274 nucleotides) under uncultured bacterium. Its description in RNAcentral is "partial 16S ribosomal RNA". It matches the Rfam family "Bacterial small subunit ribosomal RNA", at positions 523 to 796 of the family's 1533-position model. The record is from RNAcentral.